Molecule: ribosomal RNA, 445 nt
Filed under: uncultured prokaryote
Description: bacterial SSU rRNA
Rfam family: Bacterial small subunit ribosomal RNA
Source: RNAcentral
UAGGGAAUAUUGGACAAUGGGCGAAAGCCUGAUCCAGCCACGCCGCGUGAGUGGUGAAGGCCCUCGGGUCGUAAAGCUAUGUGGGGAGGGACGAAAAAGGUGGGGUAAUGCCCACUAUUGACGGUACCUCCUUAGCAAGCACCGGCUAACUCUGUGCCAGCAGCCGCGGUAAUACAGAGGGUGCAAACGUUGCUCGGAAUCACUGGGCGUAAAGCGCGUGUAGGCGGACUUGCAAGUCGGGUGUGAAAUCCCUGGGCUCAACCUAGGAACUGCACCCGAAACUGCAUGUCUUGAGUGUCGGAGAGGGAAGCGGAAUUCCUGAUGUAGAGGUGAAAUUCGUAGAUAUCAGGAGGAACACCGGUGGCGAAGGCGGCUUCCUGGACGACUACUGACGCUGAGACGCGAAAGCGUGGGGAGCAAACAGGAUUAGAUACCCCGGUAGUCC